UACGUAGGGUGCAAGCAUUAAUCGGAAUUACUGGGCGUAAAGCGUGCGCAGGCGGCUUUGCAAGACAGAUGUGAAAUCCCCGGGCUUAACCUGGGAACUGCAUUUGUGACUGCAUGGCUAGAGUGCGGCAGAGGGGGAUGGAAUUCCGCGUGUAGCAGUGAAAUGCGUAGAUAUGCGGAGGAACACCGAUGGCGAAGGCAAUCCCCUGGGCCUGCACUGACGCUCAUGCACGAAAGCGUGGGGAGCAAACAGG
This 253-nucleotide ribosomal RNA is filed under the name uncultured bacterium. RNAcentral's name for it is "partial 16S ribosomal RNA". It matches the Rfam family "Bacterial small subunit ribosomal RNA", at positions 524 to 776 of the family's 1533-position model. The record is from RNAcentral.